RNAcentral lists this ribosomal RNA (537 nucleotides) under uncultured Acidobacteriota bacterium. RNAcentral describes it as "bacterial SSU rRNA". It matches the Rfam family "Bacterial small subunit ribosomal RNA", at positions 13 to 529 of the family's 1533-position model. Lineage: Bacteria; Pseudomonadati; Acidobacteriota. The record is from RNAcentral.
UUGAUCCUGGCUCAGAAUCAACGCUGGCGGCGUGCCUAACACAUGCAAGUCGAACGCGAAAGCCCCGCAAGGGGUAAGUAGAGUGGCAAACGGGUGAGUUACACGUGGGUGACCUGCCUUCGAGUGGGGGAUAACGUCCCGAAAGGGACUCUAAUACCGCAUGACAUCCUGCUCUUGGACGAGCGGAGAUCAAAGCUGGUGAUCGCAAGACCUGGCGCUUGAAGAGGGGCCCGCGCCUGAUUAGCUAGUUGGUGAGGUAACGGCUCACCAAGGCAACGAUCAGUAUCCGGCCUGAGAGGUCGGACGGACACACUGGGACUGAGACACGGCCCAGACUCCUACGGGAGGCUGCAGUGGGGAAUUGUUCGCAAUGGGCGCAAGCCUGACGACGCAACGCCGUGUGGAGGAUGAAGAUCUUCGGGUCGUAAACUCCUGUCGAGCGGGAAGAAUGUUUCGCGGAUGAAUAAGCCGCGGAAGUGACGGUACCGCUAAAGGAAGCUCCGGCUAACUCCGUGCCAGCAGCCGCGGUAAUAAGGU